UGGGGAAUUUUGGACAAUGGGCGAAAGCCUGAUCCAGCAAUGCCGCGUGUGUGAAGAAGGCCUUCGGGUUGUAAAGCACUUUUGUCCGGAAAGAAAUCCUUGGCUCUAAUACAGUCGGGGGAUGACGGUACCGGAAGAAUAAGCACCGGCUAACUACGUGCCAGCAGCCGCGGUAAUACGUAGGGUGCAAGCGUUAAUCGGAAUUACUGGGCGUAAAGCUGCGCAGGCGGUUUGCUAAGACCGAUGUGAAAUCCCCGGGCUCAACCUGGGAACUGCAUUGGUGACUGGCAGGCUAGAGUAUGGCAGAGGGGGGUUAGAAUUCCACGUGUAGCAGUGAAAUGCGUAGAGAUGUGGAGGAAUACCGAUGGCGAAGGCAGCCCCCUGGGCCAAUACUGACGCUCAUGCACGAAAGCGUGGGGAGCAAAC
RNAcentral lists this ribosomal RNA (426 nucleotides) under uncultured bacterium. Its description in RNAcentral is "partial 16S ribosomal RNA". It matches the Rfam family "Bacterial small subunit ribosomal RNA", at positions 355 to 773 of the family's 1533-position model. The record is from RNAcentral.